GGCGGCGGCUGCUGCUAGGGAGUCGACUUCUCUCCGGUGGCGACUCCGCUUUUUCUCUCCGGUCGCGGCCUCUUCUCGCUUCCCUCAGGCGACGGCGGCAGCGGCGGGCUCGACCUCGGGCCCCAGAAUGCACCGCGCGGAAAGAGCGGCUCCUCCGGUCGGGGAGAAGAGGAAAGUGUAGGAAAAGGGGCGCGAGGACGGAGAAUGAACGUGCGUGCGUGCAAACGAGGGGUGGUGAGGCCGGGCGGCGGCUGGUGACGCAGCAAAAUGCCCGGGCCUUGCCGCCGCGCGUGCGCAGUCCUUGUUUUUGGGCUCCGGCGCGGCUUUCUAGAGAUAUCUACGGAAAGGGCG
Molecule: long non-coding RNA, 351 nt
Filed under: Homo sapiens (human)
Lineage: Eukaryota; Metazoa; Chordata; Mammalia; Primates; Hominidae
Description: non-protein coding lnc-HSD17B6-3:1
Source: RNAcentral